AAUAUUUGUUGUAUUUAUUAUAUUUAUGAUCUGAAUUUUUAUUUAACGGUUAAUAAUGCUUUUUCUGGUUAAAAUUAAUUGCCUUCCAGAUGUGCAUGUGUUUUAUAGCGAAUUCGGUUGCUUGCACUAGUGCGCACUGAGUGCGCACUAAGGCUUGUUUACAUACUUUACAUCAGUAUUCUUAUAUUUAAGAAUACAUGUUCAAAAAUUAUUUAAUCAAAAAAAAUAAUUCUAUGGGUGUUGUACAGAUCAUUUUACUGAUUAAGAAGUAUUUUAAGAAGAAUUUAAGAUGAUUCUUAAAUAUGAAAAUUGACUAUAAACAAGCCUUAAUAUACACUCAGUGCGCACUAGUGCAAGCAACCGAAUUCGCUAUUAUAUAGGAUAUGUUACACGCAUUGUAGAAAAUUUGGAACGUAGCUAACUUUAAGCGAGAAGGCACCGUCGCUAUUAAUAUUGUUUUAGAUGUCGAAUAAUUUAAUAAACACAAAAAUUAAUAGCAUAAUUUUUUUCUAUGUAUUAAUAUUAAUUUUAAUGAGUUAAGUGGAAAGAGAUCGUUUAGGAAAUACAAUAUAGGAAAUUUGGAAAAUUGGCAUUUUUAAUAGUAUUAGUAUCAAAACCAUCAUAUUGUGCUUCUUAGAUGACUAUUAUAAUAUUGAAAUAAUAACAUUAUUUUGUUAAAAUUUAAGAUUAUCGAAUUCUUUAAACAAAAUUUUAUAUUGUUUUUAUACAUAUAUGAAACGAUAAUUGUUAAAUAUUAUAAUUAAAUGGAAUAUAUUAGUACACUUUUUUCUUUACAAGAACCAGAGGAGGUGCUUUAUAUAGAUUUCGAAGUGCCGAACUCGAAUCUGUUGCCCGUUUUGCUCCUACACGUCAGGUUUUUUGUAAAUCUCGAAAAUAUGUGAUUUGUAAAUUAACCAACCUAUUAAUAUCCAUGGCUAGACCAACGGGAGGAUUGGAAAAGUAACUAUUGGAAGCUUUACUUUAGAUCAAAAGAACAUUUUAGCGUAAAAAAUUUUUUUUUACAUUUGUAACAAAAUUUGUUUAAACAAAUUACGAAAAUCGACUUUUCGAGAAAAACUAAUAGCGCCAUUCGAUUGUAUGGGAAAAAUUACAUGGAAAUCAAUAGUUACUUUUCCAAUCUCUCUCCUCGCUGAUCUAGCCAUGAACAGUAACAGGUACAGAGAUAAAUUAUUUAUCAAGAGACACGGUAGUGGCUCGCGCCAAGUGAAAGCGCAGCGCGAGCCCGACCGUGCUCUUUACGCGAGUACGCGACUUGCGAGCACUCGAGAUUAUUGAAUCUCAGAAACGGUUAAAUUGAUCGAGUUUCUAAGUAAGCUCAAUCGAAAGCUUGGGGUCGAUUUAUAUUAGAAAACUAUUUUUAUUUUUUCUCUACAUGUCCUAUGAAUGGAGAUAUCGCGACGCAAAGUCCGAAAAGCCAAAAUUUCAUUUAAGAUACGUCGUCGUCAUCGUCAACCUUGUUGGUAUCUCUGCGGGUAGUGCGGGUGCCGAAAAUGAGGGACGAAAAUCCAUUUCGCUCAUCUACUACCGUGUGGCGUUCGCAUCGUCACUAUAGCACCGUAUAUGGCAAUGUAUAAGUCACGUGGUCACCAGUGGCUCGCUCGCGCCGUGAAUUAGUUGUGUGAAGAUGAUAGGUUAUAUAUGAGGUUUUAUUAUUAUUAAUCAUUGACACCAAUAUAAAUUAAUUAAUUAAUCAGAGAGUAACAUAGCUCAAUUUAUCGAUGAGGUCACAUAAGUUGCUUCGGCCACAGGUCAGCUCCUGUCAAGUGACAUGUGUAGUGGAGGUUAAAUUAUUUAUUUAAUGAUUUUAAUCAUUGACACCAAUAUAAAUUAAUUAAUUUCAGAGAGUAACAUAGCUCAGAUUUAUCGAUGAGGUAGAUGAGAUGUUGCGUGAUGUAAAAUGUGUAAUUAUUGUUGUAAUUUCAAUGAUAAUGUUGUAAGGAUAAUAAAGUAAAGAAUAAAAAUAGUAUAUUGAUUGAUUGACAAUUACAGCAACAUUUAUCCAAUACACAAUUCUUCUACAUCAUACAAUAUUUCAUCUCUCAUCGACACUAAUAUAAAAUUACAGAGCUAUUUUAUUUUUAAUUUUAACCGGUCACAUAAGUUGCUCUGGCCACAGGUCAGCUCCUGUUAAGUGACAUGUGUAGUGGAGGUUAAAUCAUUUAUUUAAUGAUUUUUAACAUCUCAUCUAUUUAAUCAUCGUUCAUUAAGAUUUUCCACUUGUGUCGAUGAAAUAAAUGAGAUUGACACAAAUGUAAAAUUAAAUAAUCAGAGAAUAACAUAGCUCAGAUUUUAUACUGGUGUUGAUGAGGUAGAUGAGAUGUUGCAUGAUGUAGAAAAUGUGUAUUAUUGCUGUAAUUGUCAAUCAUGUUAUAAGGAUAAAAACUAUCAUCAUCACCAAGGUAUUACUUUUGUCACCAAGAUACAAUUAUAUGUUACUAGUAAAGAAUAAAAUAGUAUUGUUAAAACCAUUUAUUUGAUUUGAAAUUUUGUUAGAUAAUUAAUAUUGAUUGACAAUUACAGCAACAUUUAACCAAUACACAAAUCUUCUACAUCAUACAUCUCAUUUCUCAUCGAUACUAAUGUAAAAUCAGAGAGCUAUUUUAUUUUAAUAAUCGGUUACGCAGGUUGCUCGGGCCACGGGUCAGCCCGUGUCAAGUGACAUAUGUAGUAUUGGUUAAAUCAUUUAUUUAAUGAUUUUUCAGGAAAUAUAUUAUUUAAAUUAAAUUAGUGACCAAACAUAAUUACCUUUUUAAAUAAAAAUGUAAAAAGGGCUCCAAGUGUGUGGGCUUCUUUAAGGGAAGACAGAAAUUCAAGAUAAUCGUUUUCAUCAAAUUCAACUUAGGCAUGGUUCCAAAACAUGCUCUAAAGAAAAAUUUUAUUUAAAAAUUUAUAGUAUUAUAUCCGUUAUAUAAACUUUAACUUCUUAGUAAAAUUUUUCUCAAAGAGAAAGUUUUAGAGUGUAACCUUAAGUGGUCUAUAAAACUAA
RNAcentral lists this long non-coding RNA (3007 nucleotides) under Monomorium pharaonis (pharaoh ant). RNAcentral describes it as "uncharacterized LOC118646771". Lineage: Eukaryota; Metazoa; Arthropoda; Insecta; Hymenoptera; Formicidae. The record is from RNAcentral.